UCCCGGUUGGCCCGGGCAGUCUCGUAUGAAAAAUACAACAUACGACGAGGGUUGCGCUCGUUGCGGGACUUAACCCAACAUCUCACGACACGAGCUGACGACGGCCAUGCAACACCUGUCACUGAGCUCCCGAAGGCACCCCGCUGUUUCCAGCAGGUUCUCAGGAUGUCAAGCCUUGGUGAGGUUCUACGCGUAGCGUCAUAUUAAACCACAUCAUCCUCCGCUUGUGCGGGUCCCCGUCAAUUCCUUUGAGUUUUAACCUUGCGGUCGUACUUCCCAGGCGGCAUACUUAACGCGUUAGCUUCGCCGCACAGGGGGUCGAUACCCCAUACGGCUAGUAUGCAUCGUUUACGGCGUGGACUAC
Molecule: unclassified non-coding RNA, 364 nt
Filed under: uncultured bacterium
Lineage: Bacteria
Description: contains 16S-23S intergenic spacer region
Source: RNAcentral